This 72-nucleotide transfer RNA is filed under the name Nelumbo nucifera (sacred lotus). It matches the Rfam family "tRNA". Rfam says of the family: Transfer RNA (tRNA) molecules are approximately 80 nucleotides in length. Their secondary structure includes four short double-helical elements and three loops (D, anti-codon, and T loops). Further hydrogen bonds mediate the characteristic L-shaped molecular structure. tRNAs have two regions of fundamental functional importance: the anti-codon, which is responsible for specific mRNA codon recognition, and the 3' end, to which the tRNAs corresponding amino acid is attached (by aminoacyl-tRNA synthetases). tRNAs cope with the degeneracy of the genetic code in two manners: having more than one tRNA (with a specific anti-codon) for a particular amino acid; and 'wobble' base-pairing, i.e. permitting non-standard base-pairing at the 3rd anti-codon position. The record is from Rfam by way of RNAcentral. Lineage: Eukaryota; Viridiplantae; Streptophyta; Magnoliopsida; Proteales; Nelumbonaceae.
GUCGUUGUAUUAUAGUGUUGAGUAUUCCCGCCUGUCACGCGGGCGACCCGGGUUCGAUCACCGGCAACGCUU